CCCUUAGAUGUUCUGGGCUGCACGCGCGCUACACUGAUGCACUCAUCGAGUUUAUGACCUUGUCCGAGAGGAUUGGGUAAUCUUCUUAAAAUGCAUCGUGAUGGGGAUAGAUUAUUGCAAUUAUUAAUCUUCAACGAGGAAUUCCUAGUAAGCGCGAGUCAUCAGCUCGUGCUGAUUACGUCCCUGCCCUUUGUACACACCGCCCGUCGCUCCUACCGAUUGGGUGAUCCGGUGAAUAAUUCGGACUGCAGCAAUGUUUGGAUCCCGAACAUUGCAGUGGAAAGUUUAGUGAACCUUAUCACUUAGAGGAAGGAGAAGUCGUAACA
RNAcentral lists this ribosomal RNA (326 nucleotides) under uncultured eukaryote. Its description in RNAcentral is "partial 18S ribosomal RNA". It matches the Rfam family "Eukaryotic small subunit ribosomal RNA", at positions 1470 to 1796 of the family's 1831-position model. The record is from RNAcentral.